This 352-nucleotide ribosomal RNA is filed under the name uncultured Racocetra. RNAcentral describes it as "SSU rRNA". It matches the Rfam family "Eukaryotic small subunit ribosomal RNA", at positions 569 to 929 of the family's 1831-position model. The record is from RNAcentral. Lineage: Eukaryota; Fungi; Glomeromycota; Glomeromycetes; Diversisporales; Gigasporaceae.
AGCAGCCGCGGUAAUUCCAGCUCCAAUAGCGUAUAUUAAAGUUGUUGCAGUUAAAAAGCUCGUAGUUGAAUUUCGGGGUUCUACCGUUGGUCGGGCUUUGUCUGUACUGGCGUGUAGAAUUUCUACCUUCUGGGGAACCAUCAUGCUAUUAAUUUAACGUGGUGGGAAACCAGGACCUUUACCUUGAAAAAAUUAGAGUGUUCAAAGCAGGCUUAUGUCUGAAUACAUUAGCAUGGAAUAAUAAAAUAGGACGGUGGUCCUGUUUUGUUGGUUUCUGAAUCACCGUAAUGAUUAAUAGGGAUAGUUGGGGGCAUUAGUAUUCAAUUGUCAGAGGUGAAAUUCUUGGAUUUAU